GAUGAACGCUGGCGGCGUGCCUAAUACAUGCAAGUCGAACGCACAGCGAAAGGUGCUUGCACCUUUCAAGUGAGUGGCGAACGGGUGAGUAACACGUGGACAACCUGCCUCAAGGCUGGGGAUAACAUUUGGAAACAGAUGCUAAUACCGAAUAAAACUCAGUGUCGCAUGACACAAAGUUAAAAGGCGCUUUGGCGUCACCUAGAGAUGGAUCCGCGGUGCAUUAGUUAGGUGGUGGGGUAAAGGCCUACCAAGACAAUGAUGCAUAGCCGCGUUGAGAGACUGAUCGGCCACAUUGGGACUGGGACACGGCCCAAACUCCUACGGGAGGCUGCAGUAGGGAAUCUUCCACAAUGGGCGAAAGCCUGAUGGAGCAACGCCGCGUGUGUGAUGAAGGCUUUCGGGUCGUAAAGCACUGUUGUAUGGGAAGAACAGCUAGAAUAGGGAAUGAUUUUAGUUUGACGGUACCAUACCAGAAAGGGACGGCUAAAUACGUGCCAGCCGCCGCCGUAA
This 513-nucleotide ribosomal RNA is filed under the name uncultured bacterium. RNAcentral's name for it is "partial 16S ribosomal RNA". It matches the Rfam family "Bacterial small subunit ribosomal RNA", at positions 28 to 523 of the family's 1533-position model. The record is from RNAcentral.